RNAcentral lists this ribosomal RNA (470 nucleotides) under uncultured bacterium. Its description in RNAcentral is "bacterial SSU rRNA". It matches the Rfam family "Bacterial small subunit ribosomal RNA", at positions 335 to 799 of the family's 1533-position model. The record is from RNAcentral.
ACUCCUACGGGAGGCAGCAGUGGGGAAUAUUGCACAAUGGGGAAACCCUGAUGCAGCCAUGCCGCGUGUGUGAAGAAGGCCUUCGGUUGUAAGCACUUUCAGUAGGGAGGAAGGUAGUGUAGUUAAUACCUGCAUUAUUUGACGUUACCUACAGAAGAAGCACCGGCUAACUCCGUGCCAGCAGCCGCGGUAAUACGGAGGGGUGCGAGCGUUAAUCGGAAUUACUGGGCGUAAAGCGCAUGCAGGCGGCCUGUUAAGUCAGAUGUGAAAGCCCGGGGGCUUAACCUCGGAAUUGCAUUUGAAACUGGCAGGCUAGAGUCUUGUAGAGGGGGUAGAAUUUCAGGUGUAGCGGUGAAAUGCGUAGAGAUCUGAAGGAAUACCAGUGGCGAAGGCGGCCCCCUGGACAAAGACUGACGCUCAGAUGCGAAAGCUGGGGAGCAAACAGGAUUAGAUACCCUGGUAGCACAGAG